UGAAAAAGCUGUUAAAUUGACAACUCAAAUCAACAGGAUUGACGUCUCAACAAAAAGCUAAACUUUGGUAUUUCAACACAGAUCUUGAAGAGACUGCAAACUUCAUAGGUGAUGGCUGUUUCCUGCAUUCAGCUAUGUAAUGAAUUAUCUUUGCUGAGGUCUUUGUUUAAACAUCUGCAGUGGUAUGGCUUUAUGACUUCAGAUGGCAGAACCUGGGAUUUGCAAUUCCUAAUACAGGACUUCUUAUACAGCAGGAUUUUUUUUUGGUCAUUUUGCCAACCAAGGACCUCCAUGGCUGGUGAUGCCCCCAUGCCAGCCUGCACCUCACUUGGCCCUGGGCCUGCUGCUGGAGUGCCCCAAGUACUUGGACCACCUGUGUUAUAGCUUGUACCCAUGUUCAGUGGUUCCCAAACUCUUGUUGACGUCCAAGAAGAAAGAGGAUACCCUGACAAUUCAAAGGGUGAGGAGGAUAGAGAGGAAUUUUGUUGAGUGAUAGAACAGCUAUCAGCAGAAAGGCUAUGUGGGGGUGGUCCCCCACCCUGCAAUCAGGUGGUUUAUCUCUCAGUGUGGCUGAGUCUGGGGGUUUUAUGGAGUCAGAAUAGGGAAGUGAAUGCUGAUCGGUUUGUGAGUAUGCAAAGAAAGGCUAAAGCAAAGACACCAUUCAAAGGUGGGCAUGGCAGUGUAGAAAACCAAUUAGGAAAGGAUAGGUAUAUGUAAAAUAGGUGAAGGAUGGGAAACAAUCAGAGGAAUACAUGCUGGGAAGGAAGACAGGUUCCCAAUCUGUUCCCUGGAUUUGACUUGUAGCUUGGCUUUCAAACUUUAGAAUGUCUUCUGCUUGGCAGUGGGGUUUCACUGAGGACUUCUCCCUAUCUGCUUAGGCAUUUGUCUGACUCCUACUGCUAUCACUUGCAUACUGCAAGAAGGGAGAGUGUAAUCUAGUUUGCACUACAUGCCCAGCUGGGAAACAAUUCUGCAGAUUCAAAGUACAACCAGAGCAAUGAAAAUGGCAGAUUUUUUUCAUAAUCAUUAGAGGUGACCAUUCAAGCAUCCAAAUGGGCAGACAGGUUCUCAAUCUGGUCCAUGGAUUUAACUUGUAGCUUGGCUUUCAGGCUUUAAACUGUCUUUGACUUGGAGGUGGGGUUUCACCAGGGACAUACCCUUAUCUGGCUAGGAGUUUGUCUGCCUCCUGAACCUACCAAUUUUCCCUUAUGAAGAGGUACAUCUAACUGCUGUUAGGAGGAGUAUGUUGACAAUCUUAACUGCUUUCUGCUGACAAGAGGCUCUGUUUUGGGAAAAGAGCAGCCAAAUCUGUCUCAGAGGCUUAUGUAAGGGUACCCAGUAAAUAGGAGCCAUUGUCUGAGGCUCUGGUUGCAUGACCGUUUGGAGUUUGAUGGCCUGAAGGUGAGAAGAGACAAACUAGGUUAUUAGAAGACAUGUAUCAGAACUGGGUGUAAGGACAGCUUAAAAAUCCUGAGGCUGCCAACACACUCAGAUAACUAGUGGCUAUAGUUAUGCCUGCCAAGGUUUGGGUACUUGGGGCUUGGCUUUAUUUAGCUCCCUUGGUCUUAUUUUCCCAAAGAAACCUCCAGGUUACAGAUACCCUAUUUACUUCUAUCACCUGGCAGGAUUUGCAGGAUAUUUGCCCAGAACUAGAAUAUUAAUCCAGAUUUUCAUAUUACCCAUCCCUCUGUUUCUCCUGAGCUGCAGCAAGAGAUCACUGGUUGGUUCACAGGAACAAGCACAGUUAGUCUAAAAUGCAGACAAAAACUUAAAAACAACUAAUGAAAUUAGAAUUUAAUAACAAGUGUAUGAUAAUUUUGAAACAUAAUCUUUCUUACUCCAGUCCUCAUUUUUGUUAAAAACAAAUCACUAUAAGACUGAGUUGUUCACAAAAUAAACUUUAGUCUUAUACUUGGCCUGAUUAUUUGCAUAAAGUGCAGCAAGAAUAAUGAUCUUUCACAUAGGUUUUUAAGUUGGCUUUGAUGGAACUCUGUUCCACAAAAAAUCUCAGAUAAGACUUUAAAGCUAAGCCCAGCCAUGAGUUUGUACCUUCAAAUACCUAUGAAUUGGGUAAAAUUCUCUUCCUGAGGUCCCAAGAUAAAUUGGGGCUUCUGAGAUUGUUAGAAAUUGACAUUCUUCGUUAUGAACCCUGCACAGGGGCUGUGUAGGGAAGGUAUGAGGCCAGUUUCCCCUAGGAGCUUUUAUUGGCUCUGCAAGGCAAGCUUGGCUCCUUAAGGGGAAGCACACUCCUCCAGUCAAAUCCUUGCUAAAACCACCAGUUUCUCCAAUUGCAUCCUGUUGCAAAAGAAAAUGGAUUUUUAUUGUACUUAUGCAAAUAAGUAUAUUUCCAUAUGUUAAGAGUGCUCACAAAUAGUUUCCAAAUUCUGGAGAAAGCAGGCAGAGAGAAACAAAU
RNAcentral lists this long non-coding RNA (2413 nucleotides) under Homo sapiens (human). RNAcentral's name for it is "HSALNT0286138". Lineage: Eukaryota; Metazoa; Chordata; Mammalia; Primates; Hominidae. The record is from RNAcentral.